AGUGGCGGACGGGUGAGUAACGCGUAAGAAUCUAACUUCAGGACGGGGACAACAGUUGGAAACGACUGUUAAUACCCGAUGUGCCGCAAGGUGAAACCUAAUUGGCCUGGAGAAGAGCUUGCGUCUGAUUAGCUAGUUGGUGGGGUAAGAGCCUACCAAGGCGACGAUCAGUAGCUGGUCUGAGAGGAUGAGCAGCCACACUGGGACUGAGACACGGCCCAGACUCCUACGGGAGGCAGCAGUGGGGAAUUUUCCGCAAUGGGCGAAAGCCUGACGGAGCAACGCCGCGUGAGGGAGGAAGGUCUUUGGAUUGUAAACCUCUUUUCUCAAGGAAGAAGUUCUGACGGUACUUGAGGAAUCAGCCUCGGCUAACUCCGUGCCAGCAGCCGCGGUAAUACGGGGGAGGCAAGCGUUAUCCGGAAUUAUUGGGCGUAAAGCGUCCGCAGGUGGUCAGCCAAGUCUGCUGUCAAAUCAGGUUGCUUAACGACCUAAAGGCGGUGGAAACUGGCAGACUAGAGAGCAGUAGGGGUAGCAGGAAUUCCCAGUGUAGCGGUGAAAUGCGUAGAGAUUGGGAAGAACAUCGGUGGCGAAAGCGUGCUACUGGGCUGUAUCUGACACUCAGGGACGAAAGCUAGGGGAGCGAAAGGGAUUAGAUACCCCUGUAGUCCUAGCCGUAAACGAUGGAUACUAGGCGUGGCUU
Molecule: ribosomal RNA, 700 nt
Filed under: uncultured bacterium
Lineage: Bacteria
Description: bacterial SSU rRNA
Rfam family: Bacterial small subunit ribosomal RNA
Source: RNAcentral